Molecule: long non-coding RNA, 1011 nt
Organism: Tympanuchus pallidicinctus (lesser prairie-chicken)
Lineage: Eukaryota; Metazoa; Chordata; Aves; Galliformes; Phasianidae
Exons: 3
Source: RefSeq, a predicted model, not a curated record
CCGUCCCGGCCCCGCCGGGAAACCGAGUGAGGCCCGAGCGGAACGGGGCCGCCCCUCGGCCGCCGCUGGGAGAGGCGGGGGCGCCUUCCUGCCGGGCGGGGCGGGACGGACUCCGGUGGGAGGGCCGAGCGGUGCCGGGUCCGCCGCUGGGGCUGGGGGGGGAGGGGAGAGCGGGAGGUGCUGCUGUCCCGGUGGUGUCCCGCGGGUAACGAGAAACGCAAAACAAAGGGAUUCAGCCGAAAGUUUGCGCCACGCUGGAUGCACAAAACAACCAGACCCGACUCCUCACCCGCAUGGCUCUCACGCCCGCUUUGUUCUGUGCGCGGCUGCGCGCUGGGCGGAGCUGCUCCGAAUGCGGCCGCACCUGUGCGGGUGGAGGCACGGGGCUGCCCCUCCGCGUUGGUCGCGGGUGGAGGACUGGUGUGCAGGCAGAACUGCCGUGGGAGACAGCUUUCCCGCUGUCGUCUAGGUUGUGUUUGCUGACAAUGCUAUGGCACUCCACCUGUAGUUUGAAUGUAUUUUAUUCCUGAGCAAUACAGAAAUAACGGGAGGAGGGCUCUGUUCAGAACUGGAUCACUUUCAGGACGUCGUGUCAUUGCUGCAGAAACACUGAUGCGUAACUGAGAAUAACAAGGAUGGGAAGUCAACUCUUGACAGUGAGUACCGAUGCCCAGUCAGUUCCAGUUCUGAUCUCAUCUUGUCCUGCAGCAUGCUUCCCACAGUUCUGGCCCCUGCUCCACGUUACCAGUUACGGCUGACCUCUGUUUGCAUGAAGCAAGAAGUGUGAUAGCCGUACUGCUAGCCAGCACUUCUGCUGCUAGAGUCUCAUUUGUCUGAUCUACUGUUACACAUCUGGAGACAUGUCCAAGAAGUACCCGUAAGUGCCUACCCUUAGUGCCCUGAAGAUACUUUGCAUGGGGCAGCUUCACAGUGUUGUGUAGAGAUUUGCAUCUGGAAUCAAGGUCAGGUAUUUGGAGCAAUGUGCUAUGCAGCUGACUUUCAGUUUAUAAG